Molecule: ribosomal RNA, 550 nt
Filed under: uncultured bacterium
Lineage: Bacteria
Description: bacterial SSU rRNA
Rfam family: Bacterial small subunit ribosomal RNA
Source: RNAcentral
GGCGGUCCUCCAAAGGAUUUGUAGGGGGCGCCUUCUGAACGGGCACGAUAUUUGUGUGCGUUGAUGAAGGGGCUCAUGGCUCUGUAAAGCACUGUUGUUCAGACUCAAAGGAAUCUGAGGGGAUACCUUGAGCGGAUGAUGGUUCCUUGACGAAUAAGCACCGGCUAACUACGUGCCAUCAGCGCGCGGUAAUACGUCUGGUGCAAGCGUUAAUCGGAAUUACUGGGCGUAAAGCGUGCGCAAGCCGUGGUGUAAGACAGAUGUCAAAUCCCCGGACUCAACCUGUGAACUGCAUUUGAGACUGCACAACUGGAGUACGGCAGAGGGAGAUGGAAUUCCGUGUGUAGCAAUGAAAUGCGUAAAUAUGCGGAGGAACACCGAUGGCGAAGGCAAUCCCCUGGACCUGUACUGACGCUCAUGCACAAAAGCGCGGGGAGCAAACACGAUUACAUACCCUGGUUGUUCACGCCCUAAACGAUGUCAACUGGUUGUUGCGUGCCCCCUUACCUCAGUACUCCCACCCUAACACCUGGAACUUUUCCCACACUCU